This 432-nucleotide ribosomal RNA is filed under the name uncultured bacterium. Its description in RNAcentral is "partial 16S ribosomal RNA". It matches the Rfam family "Bacterial small subunit ribosomal RNA", at positions 29 to 507 of the family's 1533-position model. The record is from RNAcentral.
ACGAACGCUGGCGGCAUGCCUAACCCCUGCAAGUCGAACGAGACCUUCGGGUCUAGUGGCGCACGGGUGCGUAACGCGUGGGAACCUGCCCUUAGGUUCGGAAUAACUCCCCGAAAGGGGUGCUAAUACCGGAUAAUGUCUUCGGACCAAAGAUUUAUCGCCUUUGGAUGGGCCCGCGUUGGAUUAGCUAGUUGGUAGGGUAAAGGCCUACCAAGGCGACGAUCCAUAGCUGGUCUGAGAGGAUGAUCAGCCACACUGGGACUGAGACACGGCCCAGACUCCUACGGGAGGCAGCAGUGGGGAAUAUUGGACAAUGGGCGAAAGCCUGAUCCAGCAAUGCCGCGUGAGUGAUGAAGGCCUUAGGGUUGUAAAGCUCUUUUACCCGGGAUGAUAAUGACAGUACCGGGAGAAUAAGCUCCGGCUAACUCCGUG